This 563-nucleotide long non-coding RNA is filed under the name Musa acuminata (dwarf banana). Its description in RNAcentral is "long non-coding RNA (MACU_LNC009827)". The record is from RNAcentral. Lineage: Eukaryota; Viridiplantae; Streptophyta; Magnoliopsida; Zingiberales; Musaceae.
GUGUAGUGGGACCACAGACAGAAUGUGAUUCAUCCAUUUCUGAAUGACCAUCAGACAGAAGUCUCCCAUGUCUGGGAGCUCCAUCCACCCACGUCUAGGUGAAGUCAGAGGGAGCCGGCAGAGCAUCGCAGGCUCUAUGCAUAACUCCCUUUACCAUUUCUAGCAAAGGUUCACAUUAUCCCACAACACCAGAGUACAAAAGGCAGUAUGAACAAUAAAUAAUAUAUAUCAGAAGCACACGUGAAACAACAAAAUGUACACGUGCCUUUACGAGUCAAUACGAUGCAAGCAACAAUCUCUCACAAAUGUAUUCAGAUCGGAAUGAAAUGAAAGCAAAAGUAUAAAUGGAUUCCAAGUAAUCAUAUAUAGCUCAAUUCAAAUAAGAAGGUUAGAUGAAUUCAAUAUCCAAAGGAAUGAAACUAGAAUAGGCACAUAUCGAAAGCAAAUGCGGAACAAUGGGAUAUACAUGUGCCUAUAUGUGUCAAUGCGAUAUAGCUUAAAAGUUACACAAAAUGUUUCAAGAAUGUAAAUAAUUUACAGACAAGAUCAAACCAGAAUUCAAG